RNA transcript from Zophobas morio, 1249 nucleotides. It is a transcript of the gene named tRNA methyltransferase 10 homolog A-like, with no coding region annotated. The record is from RefSeq and is a predicted model, not a curated record. Lineage: Eukaryota; Metazoa; Arthropoda; Insecta; Coleoptera; Tenebrionidae. The transcript has 11 exons.
CUACAAGUGCGCCCCAUUUUCCGGGUUCUUCGACGAAGUUAGCACGAAAGGGCUUUUAUGAAUUAUACCAACAUUAAAAUCUUAUGCAGUUCAGCAGUACCCUUUUAAAGUAUUGGCCUUCUUUUAUUCUGUUUAAUCGUCUUCAAAGAGAACACCCAACUCUAAAGAGUUAAGAACUAAUUUCUUAAGAAGGUAUCUCUUAUCGUUUAUAAUAUGGUGUUAGAAAAGUGCAAUGGGCUCUCUGAGGGAGAAGUCACAAGGUUUAGUCAAUUUCAGGGCCCAGAAGUCGAAGGGUUAUCAAAAAAUGCUAAAAAAAAGUUAAAUAAGAAAUUGCGUAGAGCCCAAACUAAAAUUUCAUACUUGGAAAUAAGGAGAGAACUACGUAAAAAAAAGAGGAAAAUUACUACUCUUAAAAGAAGGGAAGCACUGCAAAAAGGAGAACCUGUUAAAAAAAAGAACGUUAUAAAGCGGAUGGCCGAUUCUAUGAGUACACAAAGGAUAGUAAUUGACUUAAAUUACGAAAACUUCAUGUCUGAGAAAGAAAGAAUGAGCCUAGCAAAACAGCUGGAAUUUUGCUACAGCUCUAAUAGAUAUAGUGCUCAGCCAUUUCAACUCUACUUUACUUCUACUGUGGAUAUUAUAGUUUCCGAAAGAUUCGUUCAAACCAUUCCUUAUUGGCGUUCUUGGGAUGUUUUUUGGAAGAAUGAAAAUUUUAUGCAUCUUUUUAAAUCGGAGGAUUUAGUUUACCUCACGGGCGGUCAGUUAUAAUCCAAUUCACCAAACAUUCUUAUCGACCUGGAUCCAAAAAGUGUUUAUAUUAUUGGUGGACUCGUAGACCACAAUAGACAUAAGGGUCUAACUUUAAGGCGAGCGGAAUCUUGCGGAAUUCGCCACGCUUGUCUUCCCAUUGCCGAACACUUGAAGUUAUCCUCUAGUAAGGUUUUAACGGUGGACCAAGUUUUUAAAAUCCUUGUGGAAUUUCAAAACUGCAACGAUUGGUUGGGAGCCCUUUUAGCUGUUGUGCCUUCAAGAAAGCUACUUCGCCUCAACUCUGGAGACCAUCCAACGGUCGAAACAGAAAAACUUGCUUAAAUUUCACCUCUGUAGUCAACCUGCUAUUUCUUUCAAACUACCUCUACUUUGCUGCCCUUCAGCAUUUUUCCAGGGGGUUUUUUUAUUCAGUUACAUCUGAAACGUAAGGAAUUGUUCAGUUUUUACCUUAUUUGGUUUACCGGCCUCCUUAGAAAGA